Long non-coding RNA from Malaclemys terrapin pileata, 733 nucleotides. RefSeq lists it as uncharacterized. The transcript has 7 exons. The record is from RefSeq and is a predicted model, not a curated record. Lineage: Eukaryota; Metazoa; Chordata; Testudines; Emydidae.
CAGUAUAUUUGAUUUGGGAGAAAUGAAGUAACAGCUGCCCAAACUGAGCUUGAGCACUCCUGAAUUUUGAGGUGUUCAAAUCUGGAAGGGAGCAAGAUCGGUGGAUGUAUAUUUCCCUGAAGCCUCCUGGUUUGACUACUACACAGGUGAUGAAGUGCCAGCUUCCUGGCACAGAAAAUAUGUUAGUGUUGAUGCCCCAUUGGACAAGAUCCCACUCUUUCUCCGUGGAGGUUACAUUCUGCCAACACAAGCACCAGCCACAACUACUACUCGGAGCCGUCUGAACCCAUUUGGACUUAUUAUUGCUCUGGAUGAACGAGGAGAAGCCUCUGGGUCCCUCUUCUGGGAUGAUGGUGAUUCUAUUGAUUCUAUUGAAAAGGAAGUCUAUUUCUUGGCCAAAUAUACAUUCAGUGAAGGCCAAAUGAGGACAAAGAUUGUCAAAAAUGGCUACCGUGGAGUUGAUUCUCUGAUAUACAACACUGUUCAGGUUCUUGGUGUGACUUCAAGACCUAAUGCUAUUGUUUUGAAUGGAAAUGUCAUCCAUGGCAAGGACUUACAGUAUCAAGAAAAUGGGAAACUCACCCUACAGAUUUCUGUACCACUUACUGAGGAGUUGAACAUUAUACUUCAGUAGAAUAUUAAGAAAGUGUGUAAUUCAAUAUAAAUGAAUCUCAAAUGUUGAUGUCAUUCUGAUUUUAAUGUCAAAAUAAAAAAAAUCAAUCUUUGUUGCUUA